UACGUAGGGUGCAAGCGUUGUCCGGAAUUAUUGGGCGUAAAGCGCGCGCAGGCGGUCCUUUAAGUCUGAUGUGAAAGCCCACGGCUCAACCGUGGAGGGUCAUUGGAAACUGGGGGACUUGAGUACAGAAGAGGAAAGCGGAAUUCCACGUGUAGCGGUGAAAUGCGUAGAGAUGUGGAGGAACACCAGUGGCGAAGGCGGCUUUCUGGUCUGUAACUGACGCUGAGGCGCGAAAGCGUGGGGAGCAAACAGG
Molecule: ribosomal RNA, 253 nt
Filed under: uncultured bacterium
Lineage: Bacteria
Description: partial 16S ribosomal RNA
Rfam family: Bacterial small subunit ribosomal RNA
Source: RNAcentral